CGUACGGUGCGACACGUGUGCANCUGCCUUUAUCUGGGGAUAGCUUCGAAGGAGAUAUACCCAUAUAUGUUGAUUGGCUCAUNCGACUUGAAACUCGGUGGAUAAAGAUGGGCACGCGCAAGAAUUUAGAAUUAAGUUUGGUGAGGUACGGUCACCAGUCUAGAUCUUAGGGGGCUGAGAGGNUGAUCCCCCACACUGUUACUGAAACCGGACCAAACUCCUACGGAGGCAGCAGUGAGGAAUAUGGGACAAUGGGUGAGAGCCUGAAUCCAGCCAUCCCGCGUGAAAGGACGAUUGCCCUAUGGGUUGUAAACUUCUUUGGUAUAGGGAUAAACCUACCCUCGUGAGGGUAGCUGAAGGUACUAUACGAAUAAGCACCGGCUAACUCCGUGCCAGCAGCCGGGUAAUACGGAGGGUGCAAGCGUUAUCCGGAUUUAUUGGGUUUAAAGGGUCCGUAGGCGGAUCUGUAAGUCAGUGGUGAAAUCUCACAGUUUAACUGUGGAAACUGCCAUUGAUACUGGAGGUCUUGAGUUGUUGUUGAAAGUACUGGAAAUAAGUAGUGUACGGUGGAAAUGCUUAAUUUUACUCAAACACCAAUUG
RNAcentral lists this ribosomal RNA (600 nucleotides) under uncultured bacterium. RNAcentral describes it as "bacterial SSU rRNA". It matches the Rfam family "Bacterial small subunit ribosomal RNA", at positions 99 to 715 of the family's 1533-position model. The record is from RNAcentral.